Long non-coding RNA from Lagopus leucura (white-tailed ptarmigan), 179 nucleotides. RefSeq lists it as uncharacterized. The record is from RefSeq and is a predicted model, not a curated record. The transcript has 3 exons. NCBI's taxonomy places the organism in Eukaryota, Metazoa, Chordata, Aves, Galliformes, Phasianidae.
CUGUGAAUGAAGAAAAGGAAGUUUCUUGUAGUUUCGUACAGCGUUGAUAUAUCGUAGAACAACUUGCAUCAGUGAAACCUGUUAACAAGUUACAGACUCUGGUUUUGCUCCUCCGUUUGAAGGUUAUUGGCACCACUGCUUGUCUGGAAGAACAAGCUAUUUAGCACUCAGGAAAAUUG